Molecule: transfer RNA, 74 nt
Filed under: Candidatus Woesearchaeota archaeon
Lineage: Archaea; Nanobdellati; Candidatus Woesearchaeota
Description: tRNA-Arg
Source: RNAcentral
GCUCCCGUAGUCUAGUCUGGAUAGGACAUAACCCUGCGGAGGUUAUAGCCCGGGUUCGAAACCCUAUUGCUGAG